GACGAACACUGGCGGCGUGCCUAAUACAUGCAAGUAGAACGCUGAAGAGAGGAGCUUGCUCUUCUUGGAUGAGUUGCGAACGGGUGAGUAACGCGUAGGUAACCUGCCUUGUAGCGGGGGAUAACUAUUGGAAACGAUAGCUAAUACCGCAUAACAAUGGAUGACACAUGUCAUUUAUUUGAAAGGGGCAAUUGCUCCACUACAAGAUGGACCUGCGUUGUAUUAGCUAGUAGGUGAGGUAACGGCUCACCUAGGCGACGAUACAUAGCCGACCUGAGAGGGUGAUCGGCCACACUGGGACUGAGACACGGCCCAGACUCCUACGGGAGGCAGCAGUAGGGAAUCUUCGGCAAUGGGGGCAACCCUGACCGAGCAACGCCGCGUGAGUGAAGAAGGUUUUCGGAUCGUAAAGCUCUGUUGUAAGUCAAGAACGAGUGUGAGAGUGGAAAGUUCACACUGUGACGGUAGCUUACCAGAAAGGGACGGCUAACUACGUGCCAGCAGCCGCGGUAAUACGUAGGUCCCGAGCGUUGUCCGGAUUUAUUGGGCGUAAAGCGAGCGCAGGCGGUUUGAUAAGUCUGAAGUUAAAGGCUGUGGCUCAACCAUAGUUCGCUUUGGAAACUGUCAAACUUGAGUGCAGAAGGGGAGAGUGGAAUUC
Molecule: ribosomal RNA, 658 nt
Filed under: uncultured Bacillota bacterium
Lineage: Bacteria; Bacillati; Bacillota
Description: bacterial SSU rRNA
Rfam family: Bacterial small subunit ribosomal RNA
Source: RNAcentral